This 512-nucleotide ribosomal RNA is filed under the name uncultured crenarchaeote. RNAcentral describes it as "bacterial SSU rRNA". It matches the Rfam family "Archaeal small subunit ribosomal RNA", at positions 366 to 881 of the family's 1478-position model. The record is from RNAcentral. Lineage: Archaea; Thermoproteati; Thermoproteota.
UGCGAUAGGGAUCCCAAGUGCCAUGCCUUUGGUAUGGCUUUUGCCAAGUGUAAGAAGCUUGGCGAAUAAGUGGUGGGUAAGACGGGUGCCAGCCGCCGCGGUAACACCUGCGCCACAAGUGGCAAUCAUGAUUAUUGGGCCUAAAGCGUCCGUAGCCGGGCGAGUAACUCUUUUGUGAAAUUGCUUAGCUUAACUAAGCACCGUGCAAGAGAAACUGCUCGUCUUGAGACCGGGAGGGGACAGAGGUAUGCUGGGGGGAGCGGUUAAAUGUGAUAAUCCUCGGUAGACCACCAGUGGCGAAGGCGUCUGUCUAGAACGGUUCUGACGGUGAGGGACGAAGGCUAGGGGAGCGAAACGGAUUAGAUACCCGAGUAGUCCUAGCAGUAAACGCUGCGAGCUAGGUGUUGUGCAUCUUACGUGGAUGUGCAGUGCCCAAUUGAAGAAGUUUAGCUCGCCGCCUGGGACGUACGGUCGCAAGAUUGAAACUUAAAGGAAUUGGCGGGGGAGCACAC